This 316-nucleotide long non-coding RNA is filed under the name Phoenix dactylifera (date palm). RNAcentral's name for it is "long non-coding RNA (PDAC_LNC016073)". The record is from RNAcentral. Lineage: Eukaryota; Viridiplantae; Streptophyta; Magnoliopsida; Arecales; Arecaceae.
AAAAACAUCAAGUGCAUUCAAGAGAGAACCCUAGCAAGGCAAGCUUCAUUCAAUUGCUUCAUUCAAAGAGCCAAAAGAAAGUGGUUGAGCAGAUUCCAAGAGACAUUAAGAGCUCCACCAAUCCUUGAAGAGUGAAGCAAUCGUGACAAAGAAGAGAAGAGCUUUAUUAAAGGGAUAACUAUAUUCUAAACUCUUCUUUGUAGAUUAUAUUGUUAUAUUUGCUCAUUUAGGAGUUUAAAUCUUCUUCCUUUAUUUGUUAAACUACUUGUAAAGGUUGGUUGGUAAGCUCGCAAAACCAACGGAAUAGGUUGAUUGG